CCUACGGGUGGCAGCAGUGAGGAAUAUUGGUCAAUGGGCGUGAGCCUGAACCAGCCAAGUCGCGUGAGGGAUGAAGGUCCUAUGGAUCGUAAACCUCUUUUAUAAGGGAAUAAAGUGCGGGACAUGUGCCGUUUUGUAUGUACUUUAUGAAUAAGGAUCGGCUAACUCCGUGCCAGCAGCCGCGGUAAUACGGAGGAUCCGAGCGUUAUCCGGAUUUAUUGGGUUUAAAGGGGGCGUAGGUGGCUUUUUAAGUCAGUGGUGAAAGUUUGGGGCUCAACCGUAAAAUUGCCAUUGAUACUGGGAGGCUUGAGUAUAUUUGAGGCAGGCGGAAUGCGUGGUGUAGCGGUGAAAUGCUUAGAUAUCACGAAGAACCCCGAUUGCGAAGGCAGCCUGCCAAGCCAUGACUGACGCUGAUGCACGAAAGCGUGGGGAUCAAACAGGAUUAGAUACCCGAGUAGUC
This 460-nucleotide ribosomal RNA is filed under the name uncultured bacterium. RNAcentral's name for it is "partial 16S ribosomal RNA". It matches the Rfam family "Bacterial small subunit ribosomal RNA", at positions 338 to 795 of the family's 1533-position model. The record is from RNAcentral.